UACGUAGGGGGCAAGCGUUGUCCGGAAUCAUUGGGCGUAAAGGGCGUGUAGGCGGCCCGGUAAGUCCGCUGUGAAAGUCCAGGGCUCAACCCUGGGAUGCCGGUGGAUACUGUCGGGCUCGAGUCCGGAAGAGGAGUGUGGAAUUCCUGGUGUAGCGGUGAAAUGCGCAGAUAUCAGGAGGAACACCAAUGGCGAAGGCGGCACUCUGGGACGUGACUGACGCUGAGACGCGAAAGCGUGGGGAGCAAACAGG
Molecule: ribosomal RNA, 253 nt
Filed under: uncultured bacterium
Lineage: Bacteria
Description: partial 16S ribosomal RNA
Rfam family: Bacterial small subunit ribosomal RNA
Source: RNAcentral